CAGUCGCCGCGGGAAUACGUAGGGGGCAAGCGUUAUCCGGAAUUACUGGGUGUAAAGGGAGCGUAGACGGUUAAACGAGUCUGAAGUGAAAUGCCGGGGCUCAACCCCGGAGCUGCUUUGGGAACUGUAGAACUGGAGUGUCGGAGGGGUAAGCGGAAUUCCCAGUGUAGCGGUGAAAUGCGUAGAUAUUGGGAGGAACACCGGCGGCGAAGGCGGCUUACUGGACGACAACUGACGUUGAGGCUCGAAGGCGUGGGUAGCAGACUGGAUUAGAUACCCGCGUAGUCCCUGUCUCUUAUAC
This 301-nucleotide ribosomal RNA is filed under the name uncultured bacterium. RNAcentral's name for it is "partial 16S ribosomal RNA". It matches the Rfam family "Bacterial small subunit ribosomal RNA", at positions 509 to 807 of the family's 1533-position model. The record is from RNAcentral.